GCGCAGCAGUCGAGAAACUUCACACUGUGCGAAAGCACGAUGAGGGAAUCCCAAGUGCUUGCACGUAAGUGUAAGCUGUUUCUCUGUUUAAAACGCAGAGAGAGUAAGGGCUGGGUAAGACGGGUGCCAGCCGCCGCGGUAAUACCUGCAGCUCAAGUGGUGACCGUUAUUAUUGGGGCCUAAAACGUCCGUAGCCGGUUUAAUAAAUGCCUAGGGUAAAUCGUGUAGCUUAACUAUACGUAUUCCGGGUAGACUGUUAAACUCGAGACCGGGAGAAGUUAGAGGUACUCCUGGGGUAGAGGUGAAAGUUCUGUAAUCCGUAGGGGGACCACCAGUGGCGAAGGCGUCUAACUAGAACGGGUCUGACGGUGAGGGACGAAGCCCUGGGGCGCAAACGGGAUUAGAUA
This 407-nucleotide ribosomal RNA is filed under the name uncultured microorganism. RNAcentral's name for it is "bacterial SSU rRNA". It matches the Rfam family "Archaeal small subunit ribosomal RNA", at positions 330 to 735 of the family's 1478-position model. The record is from RNAcentral.